RNAcentral lists this ribosomal RNA (569 nucleotides) under Plectranthus barbatus. Its description in RNAcentral is "eukaryotic LSU rRNA". The stretch from base 193 to 348 matches the Rfam family "5.8S ribosomal RNA". The record is from RNAcentral. Lineage: Eukaryota; Viridiplantae; Streptophyta; Magnoliopsida; Lamiales; Lamiaceae.
UGCAAAGCAGACCGCGAACACGUAUGUAACGCCGAACCCCCGCCGGCGCGCGAGCGGUUGCCCGCCGCGCCGCGCGGGCUAACGAACCCCGGCGCGGAACGCGCCAAGGAAAACUCAAAGUAGCGCCGCCGCCCCCCGCCCCCGUCCGCGGGACAAGCUCGGGGCCGGCGUGCGUCUAUCGAAUGUCAAAACGACUCUGGGCAACGGAUAUCUCGGCUCUCGCAUCGAUGAAGAACGUAGCGAAAUGCGAUACUUGGUGUGAAUUGCAGAAUCCCGUGAACCAUCGAGUCUUUGAACGCAAGUUGCGCCCGAAGCCAUUAGGCCGAGGGCACGUCUGCCUGGGCGUCACGCAUCGCGUCGCCCCCCCAUCGCCCCUCGGGGCGGGGAGGGGGCGGAUACUGGCCUCCCGUGCGCCCCGGCGCGCGGCCGGCCCAAAUGCGAUCCCCCGGCGACCCGCGUCGCGGCAAGUGGUGGUUGAACACAUCAAUCUCGCGUACUGCCGCGCCACCGGGCCGUCCGGACGGGCAUCGAGAACGACCCUGCGGCGAAAGCCCACGACCGCGACCCCA